Molecule: ribosomal RNA, 253 nt
Filed under: uncultured bacterium
Lineage: Bacteria
Description: partial 16S ribosomal RNA
Rfam family: Bacterial small subunit ribosomal RNA
Source: RNAcentral
UACGUAGGGUGCGAGCGUUGCCCGGAUUUAUUGGGCGUAAAGGGCGCGCAGGCGGCUACGCACGUCCGUUGUGAAAUCGCUCGGCUCAACUGGGCGGGGUCAGCGGAUACGGCGUAGCUGGAGCAAGCUAGGGGGCAAUGGAAUUCCCGGUGUAGUGGUGGAAUGCGUAGAUAUCGUUUGGAACGCCAACGGUGAAAACAGCUCGCUGGGGGUGUGCUGACGCUGAGACACGAAAGCCAGGGGAGCGAACGGG